GACGGAGGGCGCAAGCGUUGUUCGGAAUUACUGGGCGUAAAGCGCGGGCAGGCGGUCUGUUAAGUCUCCUGUGAAAUUCCGGGGCUCAACCCCGGACAUGCAGAAGAUACUGGCAGACUCGAGAAUGGUAGAGGCAAGCGGAAUUCCUGGUGUAGCGGUGGAAUGCGUAGAUAUCAGGAAGAACACCUGUGGCGAAGGCGGCUUGCUGGGCCAUUUCUGACGCUCAUCCGCGAAAGCGUGGGGAGCAAACAGG
This 253-nucleotide unclassified non-coding RNA is filed under the name uncultured Gemmatimonadota bacterium. Its description in RNAcentral is "uncultured Gemmatimonadetes bacterium contains 16S-23S intergenic spacer region". It matches the Rfam family "Bacterial small subunit ribosomal RNA", at positions 524 to 776 of the family's 1533-position model. Lineage: Bacteria; Pseudomonadati; Gemmatimonadota. The record is from RNAcentral.